RNAcentral lists this transfer RNA (86 nucleotides) under Caballeronia choica. Its description in RNAcentral is "tRNA-Glu". The record is from RNAcentral. Lineage: Bacteria; Pseudomonadati; Pseudomonadota; Betaproteobacteria; Burkholderiales; Burkholderiaceae.
CGAGCCGCCGCGCUGCCCGGCGCUGCUGCUUUCGUCAGCGGCCGACGGGCUCGUCGAUCCGGUCUGUUCGCUGCGGAUCGCCUCGC